RNAcentral lists this ribosomal RNA (244 nucleotides) under Francisella tularensis subsp. holarctica. Its description in RNAcentral is "partial 16S ribosomal RNA". It matches the Rfam family "Bacterial small subunit ribosomal RNA", at positions 739 to 979 of the family's 1533-position model. Lineage: Bacteria; Pseudomonadati; Pseudomonadota; Gammaproteobacteria; Thiotrichales; Francisellaceae. The record is from RNAcentral.
ACUGACACUGAGGGACGAAAGCGUGGGGAUCAAACAGGAUAAGAUACCCUGGUAGUCCACGCUGUAAACGAUGAGUACUAGCUGUUGGAGUCGGUGUAAAGGCUCUCGUGGCGCAGCUAACGCGAUAAGUACUCCGCCUGGGGACUACGGCCGCAAGGCUAAAACUCAAAGGAAUUGACGGGGUCCCGCACAAGCGGUGGAGCAUGUGGUUUAAUUCGAUGCAACGCGAAGAACCUUACCUGGU